RNAcentral lists this ribosomal RNA (790 nucleotides) under Escherichia coli. Its description in RNAcentral is "partial 23S ribosomal RNA". It matches the Rfam family "Bacterial large subunit ribosomal RNA", at positions 2159 to 2925 of the family's 2925-position model. The record is from RNAcentral. Lineage: Bacteria; Pseudomonadati; Pseudomonadota; Gammaproteobacteria; Enterobacterales; Enterobacteriaceae.
GAAGUGUGGACGCCAGUCUGCAUGGAGCCGACCUUGAAAUACCACCCUUUAAUGUUUGAUGUUCUAACGUUGACCCGUAAUCCGGGUUGCGGACAGUGUCUGGUGGGUAGUUUGACUGGGGCGGUCUCCUCCUAAAGAGUAACGGAGGAGCACGAAGGUUGGCUAAUCCUGGUCGGACAUCAGGAGGUUAGUGCAAUGGCAUAAGCCAGCUUGACUGCGAGCGUGACGGCGCGAGCAGGUGCGAAAGCAGGUCAUAGUGAUCCGGUGGUUCUGAAUGGAAGGGCCAUCGCUCAACGGAUAAAAGGUACUCCGGGGAUAACAGGCUGAUACCGCCCAAGAGUUCAUAUCGACGGCGGUGUUUGGCACCUCGAUGUCGGCUCAUCACAUCCUGGGGCUGAAGUAGGUCCCAAGGGUAUGGCUGUUCGCCAUUUAAAGUGGUACGCGAGCUGGGUUUAGAACGUCGUGAGACAGUUCGGUCCCUAUCUGCCGUGGGCGCUGGAGAACUGAGGGGGGCUGCUCCUAGUACGAGAGGACCGGAGUGGACGCAUCACUGGUGUUCGGGUUGUCAUGCCAAUGGCACUGCCCGGUAGCUAAAUGCGGAAGAGAUAAGUGCUGAAAGCAUCUAAGCACGAAACUUGCCCCGAGAUGAGUUCUCCCUGAGACUUUAAGUCUCCUGAAGGAACGUUGAAGACGACGACGUUGAUAGGCCGGGUGUGUAAGCGCAGCGAUGCGUUGAGCUAACCGGUACUAAUGAACCGUGAGGCUUAACCUUACAACGCCGAAGGUGUUU